RNAcentral lists this ribosomal RNA (478 nucleotides) under uncultured bacterium. RNAcentral's name for it is "partial 16S ribosomal RNA". It matches the Rfam family "Bacterial small subunit ribosomal RNA", at positions 355 to 825 of the family's 1533-position model. The record is from RNAcentral.
UAGGGAAUCUUCCACAAUGGACGCAAGUCUGAUGGAGCAACGCCGCGUGAGUGAAGAAGGUUUUCGGACCGUAAAGCUCUGUUGUUGGUGAAGAAGGAUAGAGGUAGUAACUGGCCUUUAUUUGACGGUAAUCAACCAGAAAGUCACGGCUAACUACGUGCCAGCAGCCGCGGUAAUACGUAGGUGGCAAGCGUUGUCCGGAUUUAUUGGGCGUAAAGCGAGCGCAGGCGGAAGAAUAAGUCUGAUGUGAAAGCCCUCGGCUUAACCGAGGAAUUGCAUCGGAAACUGUUUUCUUGAGUGCAGAAGAGGAGAGUGGAACUCCAUGUGUAGCGGUGGAAUGCGUAGAUAUAUGGAAGAACACCAGUGGCGAAGGCGGCUCUCUGGUCUGCAACUGACGCUGAGGCUCGAAAGCAUGGGUAGCGAACAGGAUUAGAUACCCUGGUAGUCCAUCCCGGUAAACGAUGAGUGCUAAGUGUUG